Molecule: long non-coding RNA, 1376 nt
Organism: Gambusia affinis (western mosquitofish)
Lineage: Eukaryota; Metazoa; Chordata; Actinopteri; Cyprinodontiformes; Poeciliidae
Exons: 5
Source: RefSeq, a predicted model, not a curated record
GUCAACCCGGAAGGAGUGACCUCGCCCACCGGAAGACGCCCCCCUCCGUCAGGCUUCCUGGCGACGGUAAAUAAAUUAAACAAUGAGCAAAUGUUCAAGGCAGUGACGUUACAUUAGCAGAGAAAUAAACGUCCUGGUUUAUCGGAGGGAAACGAGUUUAAACAACCGGGACAUUUAUCAUUUAUUUCGCUGAGUCAUCGUGGCCAACAGACCAGCUACAGUAACGGCUCCAUGUUUGCUUCAGUUCUGCUGUUAGUCUGAAAUAGUUACAGAAACGUUAUAAAUCACAGGAGGCUGAAGUCUGAUGGAUCCGAAGACUUCAGGGAAUCAAAUGGAUCCGAUAAAUGCGGAGCGCGGCCGGUUUUCAGUCUAAAAGAAAUAUUUUUCACGGGCCAAGAUGGCGGCGGAUGGGUGUGCUGUGGUGGCGUAGGGGACAGCGCGACGGAUGUCGUCAACAAACGUCAGCCGUCGGUCCUGGCAGAGCAGACGGCGCUUCCUGCAGAGGGAAACGAGCGGCUCUGAGACGUGCGGCUAUGUUUACAGCGUCUGUCAACACAAUCAUCGAUGCAUUUCACUUCAGUGAAACGUCUCCACCUGUUUCCCUCUGUUUCUGCUGACAGGAGCCUUGAGAUGAGUUCUGCAGGGUUCAGCCCGGUUCCCUCCACCUGUUGACUUCAGCCUCCAUGUUUCUCCACAUCAACCAGCUCCCAGCGGCGGAACCGACUGAACCGGACCCGUCCAGGCAGAAAUGCAUCCAGAAAGCUCAGCGGCCCUGAAGGAGCGCCGCGGCGGCGUUGGGACGAUCCGCUGCCAGCCGUUCGGACUCUCCUGAUUAUCUGGACUGACAGUUGACCUUCAGCCGAGCCGCUGCUGCUCUGGUCCAGGCCGGUGUUUGGUUUUUCUGGGAUGAUGGCCUGAUAAUCCUCUCCUCGGUAACAGUGGUCGACUCCAGGUUAUCUUCAUUUAAGCGCUUCGGUCGCCUCCAGUUAAUAAUACUUGACAUUUAGUGAAGAAAAGCCGCCCAGGCGCUGGGAAAACGUCGAGCUGUUGGGAGUUCAGACGUCUGUGUCUGAAUCAAUCGUCUCGGUUUCUGAAAGCCUUGAACCUCCUGCUGCUGGAGGAGUUUCAUGUUUUAGUUUAUUUAUGACUGGAACCAUUUAACUCGUCACACAGGAUUAAUUUGUUUUCCUUUUAAUCUCAGAUUACAGCAGAUAUUAAACUCAAACAGCAGCUGCACCUUUCUGGCCCUUCCAGGCUGCCUUACUCAGAACCUUUCUGGUGACAUUUCUGAAACUUUCAUAGUUUUAGAUCAGGGGGGUCCAACGUGUGGCUCGGGGGCCAUUUGUGGCCCUUGGACUAUUUUUUUUUUUGCAGCC